GUGGGGAAUAUUGCACAAUGGGCGCAAGCCUGAUGCAGCCAUGCCGCGUGUGUGAAGAAGGCCUUCGGGUUGUAAAGCACUUUCAGCGGGGAGGAAGGCGAUAAGGUUAAUAACCUUGUCGAUUGACGUUACCCGCAGAAGAAGCACCGGCUAACUCCGUGCCAGCAGCCGCGGUAAUACGGAGGGUGCAAGCGUUAAUCGGAAUUACUGGGCGUAAAGCGCACGCAGGCGGUCUGUCAAGUCGGAUGUGAAAUCCCCGGGCUCAACCUGGGAACUGCAUUCGAAACUGGCAGGCUAGAGUCUUGUAGAGGGGGGUAGAAUUCCAGGUGUAGCGGUGAAAUGCGUAGAGAUCUGGAGGAAUACCGGUGGCGAAGGCGGCCCCCUGGACAAAGACUGACGCUCAGGUGCGAAAGCGUGGGGAGCAAACAGGAUUAGAAACCCUAGUAGUCC
This 450-nucleotide ribosomal RNA is filed under the name uncultured bacterium. RNAcentral describes it as "bacterial SSU rRNA". It matches the Rfam family "Bacterial small subunit ribosomal RNA", at positions 354 to 796 of the family's 1533-position model. The record is from RNAcentral.